GAUGAACGCUGGCGGCGUGCCUAAUACAUGCAAGUCGAGCGAACAGACGCGGAGCUUGCUCCUCUGAUGUUAGCGGCGGACGGGUGAGUAACACGUGGAUAACCUACCUAUAAGACUGGGAUAACUUCGGGAAACCGGAGCUAAUACCGGAUAACAUGUUGAACCGCAUGGUUCAACAGUGAAAGACGGUCUUGCUGUCACUUAUAGAUGGAUCCGCGCCGCAUUAGCUAGUUGGUAAGGUAACGGCUUACCAAGGCAACGAUGCGUAGCCGACCUGAGAGGGUGAUCGGCCACACUGGAACUGAGACACGGUCCAGACUCCUACGGGAGGCAGCAGUAGGGAAUCUUCCGCAAUGGGCGAAAGCCUGACGGAGCAACGCCGCGUGAGUGAAGAAGGUCUUCGGAUCGUAAAACUCUGUUAUUAGGGAAGAACAAAUGUGUAAGUAACUAUGCACGUCUUGACGGUACCUAAUCAGAAAGCCACGGCUAACUACGUG
RNAcentral lists this ribosomal RNA (497 nucleotides) under uncultured bacterium. RNAcentral's name for it is "partial 16S ribosomal RNA". It matches the Rfam family "Bacterial small subunit ribosomal RNA", at positions 28 to 507 of the family's 1533-position model. The record is from RNAcentral.